UACGGAGGGUGCGAGCGUUGUCCGGAAUCAUUGGGCGUAGAGGGCGCGUAGGUGGCGGGACAAGCGUGCGGUGAAAGCUCGGGGCUCAACCCCGAGUCGGCCGUGCGAACUGUUUUGCUGGAGCACUGUAGAGGCAGGCGGAAUUCCGGGUGUAGCGGUGGAAUGCGUAGAGAUCGGGUGGAACACCAGUGGCGAAGGCGGCAUCCUGGCCCUGACCUGACGCUGAGGCGCGAGAGCGUGGGGAGCAAACGGG
RNAcentral lists this ribosomal RNA (253 nucleotides) under uncultured bacterium. RNAcentral's name for it is "partial 16S ribosomal RNA". It matches the Rfam family "Bacterial small subunit ribosomal RNA", at positions 524 to 776 of the family's 1533-position model. The record is from RNAcentral.